CCGUAGCUCAGCCGGUAGAGCAACUGACUUUUAAUCAGUAGGUCCUCGGUUCGAAUCCGAG
Molecule: transfer RNA, 61 nt
Filed under: Kaustia mangrovi
Lineage: Bacteria; Pseudomonadati; Pseudomonadota; Alphaproteobacteria; Hyphomicrobiales; Parvibaculaceae
Rfam family: tRNA
About the family: Transfer RNA (tRNA) molecules are approximately 80 nucleotides in length. Their secondary structure includes four short double-helical elements and three loops (D, anti-codon, and T loops).
Source: RNAcentral